GCCCAAAUCCGCUAGUGUCAUGAUUCUCGCUUUGGGUGCGAGAGGUCGCGCGUUUGACUCGCGCUUCGGGCC
This is a non-coding RNA of Aspergillus pseudoviridinutans, 72 nucleotides long. The record is from the annotation of a RefSeq genome assembly. Lineage: Eukaryota; Fungi; Ascomycota; Eurotiomycetes; Eurotiales; Aspergillaceae.